UGAGCUUUAGAUGUAGGAAUUUGUAGAC
Molecule: non-coding RNA, 28 nt
Filed under: Mus musculus (house mouse)
Lineage: Eukaryota; Metazoa; Chordata; Mammalia; Rodentia; Muridae
Source: RNAcentral